Molecule: long non-coding RNA, 432 nt
Filed under: Coturnix japonica (Japanese quail)
Lineage: Eukaryota; Metazoa; Chordata; Aves; Galliformes; Phasianidae
Description: lncRNA (ENSCJPG00005020053.1)
Source: RNAcentral
UUUGGAGGCUCUUGGCUGCCCAUCAGCACUGCAAAUUACGGGUACUCUACUUUGGGUACCCAAACUGAAAGUGCAGAGAACAUUUGUAAAGCUGAAAUGAAAAGGAAAUCCUCCAGGAGGCAAAAAGGCUUGCAGAAGCUGCUAAAACCAAAUGAAUCCCUCUCAAAGGAGCCGAAAGCAUAUAUUGGGAGCACCUCUGAGGAUGGGCAUCCUCAUUUACCAUGAGCUGGAGCAUUCCCCCGCUGAGGUGGGUCUCUAGGCUGGCACAUGCCCAGAGAAACAAGUCACCAUGAAGCAACACAAGCAGAGGCGAUGUGUGGUUUUUGGACUCUGCAAACAAAAACAUACCAUGAAGCCAGCAUCCACAGAAGAGAAAAUGAUCGCAACAUCGGGAUUUCCCAUAGGAUGGAAACUCUGGUCCAUCCAUAUUAU